GACGAACGCUGGCGGCGUGCCUAAUACAUGCAAGUUGAGCGAUGAAGAUUGGUGCUUGCACCAAUUUGAAGAGCAGCGAACGGGUGAGUAACGCGUGGGGAAUCUGCCUUUGAGCGGGGGACAACAUUUGGAAACGAAUGCUAAUACCGCAUAACAACUUUAAACAUAAGUUUUAAGUUUGAAAGAUGCAAUUGCAUCACUCAAAGAUGAUCCCGCGUUGUAUUAGCUAGUUGGUGAGGUAAAGGCUCACCAAGGCGAUGAUACAUAGCCGACCUGAGAGGGUGAGCGGCCACAUUGGGACUGAGACACGGCCCAAACUCCUACGGGAGGCAGCAGUAGGGAAUCUUCGGCAAUGGACGAAAGUCUGAACGAGCAACGCCGGGUGAGGGAAGGAGGUUUUCGGAUCGUAAAACUCUGUUGGUAGAGAAGAACGUUGGUGAGAGUGGAAAGCUCAUCAAGUGACGGUAACUACCCAGAAAGGGACGGCUAACUACGUG
Molecule: ribosomal RNA, 497 nt
Filed under: uncultured bacterium
Lineage: Bacteria
Description: partial 16S ribosomal RNA
Rfam family: Bacterial small subunit ribosomal RNA
Source: RNAcentral